GGAAAAAUGGCUGAGUGGUUUAAAGCGAAGAUUUGCUAAAUCUUUAUAUAUAUUAAAACUAUAUAUCGUAGGUUCGAAUCCUUCUUUUUCCA
RNAcentral lists this transfer RNA (92 nucleotides) under Amicula sp. isolate GU52X-4 cfCalB7. RNAcentral describes it as "tRNA-Ser". It matches the Rfam family "tRNA". From Rfam's summary of the family: Transfer RNA (tRNA) molecules are approximately 80 nucleotides in length. Their secondary structure includes four short double-helical elements and three loops (D, anti-codon, and T loops). The record is from RNAcentral. Lineage: Eukaryota; Bacillariophyta; Bacillariophyceae; Diploneidales; Diploneidaceae.